CCUACGGGUGGCAGCAGUGAGGAAUAUUGGUCAAUGGCCGCAAGUCUGAACCAGCCAAGCCGCGUGCAGGACGAAGGCUCCAAGCGUUGUAAACUUCUUUUGUCAGGGGACAAAAGCAGGUCCGCGUACCUGUCUGAGGGUACCGGAAGAAAAAGCAUCGGCUAACUCCGUGCCAGCAGCCGCGGUAAUACGGAGGAUUCGAGCGUUAUCCGGAUUUAUUGGGUUUAAAGGGUGCGUAGGCGGUCGGUUAAGUUAGCGGUGAAAUCCCGGGGCUCAACCUCGGCAGUGCCUUUGAUACUGGUUGUCGAGAGAGGUGUGGAGGUAUGCGGAAUGUAUGGUGUAGCGGUGAAAUGCUUAGAUAUCGCACAGAACUCCGAUUGCGAAGGCAGCUUACC
This 395-nucleotide ribosomal RNA is filed under the name uncultured bacterium. RNAcentral describes it as "partial 16S ribosomal RNA". It matches the Rfam family "Bacterial small subunit ribosomal RNA", at positions 338 to 730 of the family's 1533-position model. The record is from RNAcentral.